GGUGGGGAGGGGGCAACAGGCCUGGGCCCUGAGAUGGGGGUGUGGCCUGGGCCUCUAGGAUGGGGUGCUGCCUGGUCCCUGAGAUGGGGGCCUGGGCUCUGAGAUGGGGUGCUGCCUGGACCUCUAGGACGGGGUGCGGCCUGGGCCCUGAGAUGGGGUGCGGCCUGGGCUGCAGCCUUUCCACUUCCUCUCAGUCUAUUCCCACCUUGGAGCUGGCCAGGAGGAUCACUGGAACUGGAGUAUUCUCUGCAGAAAACCCAGGAAGACCACAGGAGAAUGAGAGUUUGUGCUAUGUUGGCGUUUCCUCCCAUCUCAGGCACGAAGGCUGGGGAAUCUUAGAUGGCCUCUUCAGCUUAAUGAGCUGCAGAGGAUGAGUGGCCCAUAAAGAAGGAUGGCAAGCAGCUGACGUGUCCAAGGGGCUCCAGCUUAAGAACAUUAGAGAGGUAGAUUUUAUCAGCUCCACGAACGGAGGAGUGAAGAGCAGUCACAGAACAAAGUAGCAGCUCCCAGUCCCUCCUCUGUUUUGUCUUCUUCAGAAGUUGACACGAUUCCGUUCACCUCAUUCUCAGAAGGCUCACCGAACCUCACGGCCACUGCUCCGAAGCUUGGUUGGAAUACACACGGACAGUUGGUCACGGGGGGCGAAUUCCCGAGAAGCCAUAGGAGAAGCCACGUCUGAGGAGCUGGGGGGGAUGUGGAGAUGGGGACCCUGGGCCUGGACUCCUUGGCCCCCGUAGGAUGCAUGGGUGUGGGGCUGCUCUCCCCAGACAGCCAGGUCCCCCACAGCAGGACCCCAUCGGGCCACUCUCACCGGGCGCUCUGCUCUGACGGCCUCGGGGUGCCCCCACCUCCGCCUGGGCUGUGCUCCCGGCCGGAUGGCCUGGGAUUCUCCUGACUUCACUCUGGGACAGUCCCUCCAUGACACAGUGCUCCCACCGCGGGCCUCAUCUUCCACAUCUGCAACACAAGGGGCAGAAUCGUCACCUCCAGGGUCCCUCGCUGCCCAGAAGCUCUGCACUCCUGCCUACGAUCAUCGCUGUUAUAGCUCGGGGACACACCAGGCUCCUGAGAUGCGCCUCCCCGCAGAAGCUCUGUGCCCUCCCCGGCCUGCAGUGCCCCCGCCCCACAGCGAGUUCGUGCAGGGCUGGCCCCUGACUGUGGAGGGACUCCGGUGUCAGGCCGGCCUGUGCCCUGUGGGCGGGGGGAAGCCAGCUGCGGAAAAACUCCCCUCACAUAGGGUCGGGGGCAGUAAAUAAAGGGCAGGUUCGAGUCCUCAGCUGGAGCUAUGGCCAGGAACUGGGGUGGAGGGAAGACGGGGGGCAGUGGCAGGAGUUCUGCAGGGUGGAGAUGGCCCAGACACUGCUUUUCAAGAUGAGCUUAGACUUGGGAGAACUCUCCAUUUCUCCACAUCUUUAGUAAAGUCGGCCAUACACAAAGAGCUGGGUCCGUUUGCUUCUGUGUUGAGGAAUUGUUUAGGUGGCCGUCAAAGCAGGUCUGCGACCAGCCUCGGUGGGCCUGGUGCAGGCCAGACGGGCCUGAGCGGAGAGGUAAGGCAGUGAGCGUUCGAGAAUGCAGGCCUCGCACAGAUUCGGCGUGACGACAAUAACGUCAGAAGGAGAGCUUAAUACCCGUGCUGCACUUCCAGACGUUUCCUGAGCAAGUGUGAUGUGCGUGUUUGGUGCCUUCAGGAUAUAUUGUUUCAAAGCUCAA
Molecule: non-coding RNA, 1710 nt
Organism: Leptonychotes weddellii (Weddell seal)
Lineage: Eukaryota; Metazoa; Chordata; Mammalia; Carnivora; Phocidae
Source: RefSeq, a predicted model, not a curated record